AUGAACGCUAGCUACAGGCUAACACAUGCAAGUCAGGGGCAGCAUGAUCGAAGCUUGCUUUGAUUGAUGGCGACCGGCGCACGGGUGAGUAACGCGUAUCCAACCUCCCCAUAGUAGAGAAUAGCCCGGCGAAAGUCGGAUUAAUGCUCUAUGUUGUAUCAUGAGGACAUCUGAAUAAUACCAAAGGUUCACCGCUAUGGGAUGGGGAUGCGUCUGAUUAGGUUGUUGGCGGGGUAACGGCCCACCAAGCCUACGAUCAGUAGGGGUUCUGAGAGGAAGGUCCCCCACAUUGGUACUGAGACACGGACCAAACUCCUACGGGAGGCAGCAGUGAGGAAUAUUGGUCAAUGGACGAGAGUCUGAACCAGCCAAGUAGCGUGCAGGAAUGACUGCCCUAUGGGUUGUAAACUGCUUUUAUCAGGGAAUAAAGUGAGGCACGUGUGCCUUUUUGUAUGUACCUGAUGAAUAAGGACCGGCUAAUUCCGUGCCAGCCGCGGC
RNAcentral lists this ribosomal RNA (498 nucleotides) under uncultured bacterium. Its description in RNAcentral is "bacterial SSU rRNA". It matches the Rfam family "Bacterial small subunit ribosomal RNA", at positions 29 to 518 of the family's 1533-position model. The record is from RNAcentral.